GCGGGUGUAGCUCAGUGGUAGAGCGCCACCUUGCCAAGGUGGAUGCCGAGGGUUCAAGUCCCUUCACCCGCUCCA
Molecule: transfer RNA, 75 nt
Filed under: Planctomycetota bacterium
Lineage: Bacteria; Pseudomonadati; Planctomycetota
Description: Planctomycetes bacterium (freshwater metagenome) tRNA-Gly
Rfam family: tRNA
About the family: Transfer RNA (tRNA) molecules are approximately 80 nucleotides in length. Their secondary structure includes four short double-helical elements and three loops (D, anti-codon, and T loops).
Source: RNAcentral